AAAAUUCCUUCCUGUCUAAUGCAGGAAGUGUUCAGCUCUGACCCAAGCAUGGCAAAGACAUUGAAUUUGCAAAACAGUACAAAACCCACCAACUUUUUGGCCGAAGACUCCUGAAUACUUUAUGUGCUCCCUGGAACUUGGCUUCUGCAGGACUCUUUAAAAUCGGAUAGUCCUGACUAACUGCAUUCUGUGCCUGAAGAACAGCUCUGACUGAAGGGAAGUGUUAAUGCAGUGAUAGAUGACUAGAACAUCUGUUAUCAACUUAUAUGAAUUUGAAAUCAUGACUUCUGUUGGAGAUAUUCUUUAUCCUAUUUUCCUUCUUUAAUAAUAUAUUUGGAACCAUCAUGAGGCCAAAUUGUGAAGCAGAGACUCACAGCUAAGACUUUGCCUGGGGUCUCAGAGGAAAUUUUGACCUGGAAUUUUAAAUAAUGCUGAAACUGUGGAGACCUUGAAGAAGACAUUAUUGUGUUUUUAUUUAUAUGCAAGAUCGAACUCAGGACAUUGAGCUUGGAGGCAGGCAUGGUGCCACUGAGCUACAUCCCGGCCCAUAGAUACCUGCUAUUGCCAGAAGAUCUAGCCCAGGCUAGCUUCCUGAAGGCUGAAAGAUCACAUGGAAGAGAUCCAAGUCAGGCCAAGGUUAUUCUCAGCGGUGUUUGGAUUCUUAGAUGAGAUUUGCCAGACUGGGAACUAAAGCACUUAGAACACUUUGGCAAGGCUUUGGAGCUGGAUUUCACUGUGCAACUGUGAAGCUGUUCUUGCAAAGGUUUGACAGGAAGAGACUUCAGUGCUGAGCCAGAAAAUAAGUGCAUCCAAAGAAGAGCUGACCCAUUAUUCAAGCAUCUCCAGUCUUCUUUGCUACAAAGAAGAUACUACACACCUGCUGCUACAGUUGUCUCUGGUUAAAAAACUCUUCCCUUCAAUUUAGGAAGCCUGACCAAGAGAUAAAUUAUUUCUCCUUGUCAAUGAACACACAUUUUUUAUUUGCUUAAUCCGAUACAAUUUCUUUCUCCUCAUCUCAUUUUUGAUUUUCCUUUCUUGGAGAAAAAUGAGAGAGGAAAAUGAGGUUUAGAUUAAGUAAACAGAUGCCAAACAUUUUGUGAGGCUGUUAUACAUUAGAUGUCCCAGCUACAACCUUUAUCUGUCUUUAUAACAUUGUAUUCAUGUGAAUAUUGAGUUACAUGGAUUCAUUUUGUAUGCCAUCGUAAAGCUGCAUCUUGAAGUCCUCUUCUCUUGGGAGAUCUUUGUGCAAUUUCCUUAUCAAUGUACAGCACUACUGAAAUAACUAUUUUAGGUGUUCUCUCAUGGACAGAUGACCCAGGACAGACACAGUCAUCUCACUGUGCUUUGUGUGAUUCAUCUGCAGUUCAAUUCUUUGGAGUUUCAGCUCUUAGCACAAUACCACUUCCUGUUUUUGAGAGGAGAAAUGGCAUAAAAAAUCACAUAAAAAGUCUUAUGAGGCCCUUGGACAUCAAAUAACUCUUGCAAAACAAAAUUUUAAUAAAUUAAGUGUAAAUGAAUCAGAAACAUGUGGGUUGAAUUUCCCUGGAAAUACCCAAGGGCUUAAAAAUUAAAAAAAAAAUUAAAAAGAAUUGCUUGGCAAAGAAUCUUGUGCAUUUUACUGAGCUCAAGCCUUUUGAAAAAGAGCAAAAGAAAACAGCCUUGAUUUGGUUGACUGAAUUAAGAAAACACUCCUGUACCCUUUAUUUAUUUUUAAUUCUACAAAAGUCAGAUUGAAGGUAUAAUUACGUUUCUUUUUGGGUGCCAAAUACAUCGAUGUUAGAGCAUUUUUCAAGUACAGUAACAUUUUGACUAACCAGAACCUCAAGUCAUGGUUGUCUUUUCAAAGGCAAUAGUGGCAGGCAAAGAAAAACUAAAAACUGUAGUUCAAGUAAAGGUCAUUAGAGCUGAGGUAAAGAAAACAUGGUGAUCAUUCAGUUCACUAACCAAGAGGAUCCUAACUGUAAAGGAACCCUGAGCCUUGGUAGUUAGCCACUGAACAAAGCACAAAAAGCAGUCAUGUGAAGACCAAAGCUCAGAAUGUAAGGAAAGUUGAAAUAAGUGGAAAAAUCUGUCUACUGAACGGAAGCUCUGGAAUAAAAGGAAAUGGCUGACCAAGGAAAAUAAAAGUUGCAAGAACUGAAAAAUUUAAAUAGCAGCUAGCAAUGGCCAAAAUGAAGCACAGGCAUAGGGAUUUGAAGGUUGGACACAGAAAAGCAAAACAAAGACCAAUAUUCACACCCCAAACCGUACUGUGAACACAAAG
Long non-coding RNA from Heterocephalus glaber (naked mole-rat), 2263 nucleotides. NCBI's taxonomy places the organism in Eukaryota, Metazoa, Chordata, Mammalia, Rodentia, Bathyergidae. The record is from Ensembl.